GUAGGGAAUAUUGGGCAAUGGAGGCAACUCUGACCCAGCCAUGCCGCGUGCAGGAUGACGGCCCUCUGGGUUGUAAACUGCUUUUAUACGGGAAGAAAAAAUACUACGUGUAGUAUACUGACGGUACCGUAAGAAUAAGGAUCGGCUAACUCCGUGCCAGCAGCCGCGGUAAUACGGAGGAUCCAAGCGUUGUCCGGAUUUAUUGGGUUUAAAGGGUGCGUAGGCGGAUCUUUAAGUCAGUGGUGAACGCCUGCAGCUUAACUGUAGAAUUGCCAUUGAAACGGAAGAUCUUGAAUGUGGUUAAAGUAGGCGGAAUGUAUCAUGUAGCGGUGAAAUGCUUAGAUAUGAUACAGAACACCGAUAGCGAAGGCAGCUUGCUGAACCAUUAUUGACGCUGAGGCACGAAAGCGUGGGGAGCGAACAGGAUUAGAAACCCUAGUAGUCC
This 445-nucleotide ribosomal RNA is filed under the name uncultured bacterium. RNAcentral describes it as "partial 16S ribosomal RNA". It matches the Rfam family "Bacterial small subunit ribosomal RNA", at positions 354 to 796 of the family's 1533-position model. The record is from RNAcentral.